CAAGCAUCUUAUUCACCUGAGUACAUUAUACCAACACAGAAACGAUUACUAGAUUACAUUGAUAUCGAAGGAACUAGACUCAGUUCCGAAAUAUCACUCGAACCGACCUGACCGCGUAGCUCAAUUGGCAGUGAGAGCAUUGGGCUAGUAUUCCAAAGGUCGUAGCGGUAGGUUCGAUUCCCACCGUUGCCAGGCAUAUUUUUCAAGCCUGCUCGGUGUGGAUAUACACUCAGAGUAACAUCACAAGCAUCUUAUUCACCUGAAUACAUUACACCAACACAGAAAAUAUCACAAUUUUCGAUAUGUUGAGAAAACAUCAGCGGAGUGUAAUGAAGACUCGUAUUUGGCAAUUUUACAUCUCUCAAGAGUAGAAUUG
This is a non-coding RNA of Paramuricea clavata, 376 nucleotides long. The record is from the annotation of a GenBank genome assembly. NCBI's taxonomy places the organism in Eukaryota, Metazoa, Cnidaria, Anthozoa, Malacalcyonacea, Plexauridae.